GUACGGGAGGCAGCAGUGAGGAAUAUUGGUCAAUGGGCGCAAGCCUGAACCAGCCAUGCCGCGUGCAGGAUGACGGUCCUAUGGAUUGUAAACUGCUUUUGUACAGGAAGAAACAGUUCUACGUGUAGAACCUUGACGGUACUGUAAGAAUAAGGAUCGGCUAACUCCGUGCCAGCAGCCGCGGUAAUACGGAGGAUCCAAGCGUUAUCCGGAAUCAUUGGGUUUAAAGGGUCCGUAGGCGGUCUUAUAAGUCAGUGGUGAAAGCCCAUCGCUCAACGAUGGAACGGCCAUUGAUACUGUAAGACUUGAAUUAUUUGGAAGUAACUAGAAUAUGUAGUGUAGCGGUGAAAUGCUUAGAGAUUACAUGGAAUACCAAUUGCGAAGGCAGGUUACUACAAAUGGAUUGACGCUGAUGGACGAAAGCGUGGGUAGCGAACAGGAUUAGAUACCCCGGUAGU
RNAcentral lists this ribosomal RNA (458 nucleotides) under uncultured bacterium. Its description in RNAcentral is "bacterial SSU rRNA". It matches the Rfam family "Bacterial small subunit ribosomal RNA", at positions 339 to 794 of the family's 1533-position model. The record is from RNAcentral.